UGCUCAACACUUGCCAUAAGUGACCACAGCUCUGACUAGGAGGGGGUGCCUGGAAGGAUGGCUGUCUCCUUGCUCUGACUGAAGCUCCAUUUCAACCUCCUUACAAGGCUAGGUCUUCCAACAUAUUUGAUCUAAGAGGAUACAAGUCAAUACGGAACCAACGUCUCUUCUUCUACAGCAGUGGGAGAGAAUGGACUGGAGGGAAGCUCUCCUGGCACCAGUGGCUACAGUUAACAGGGAGACUGCACUCCAGGCAGUGGGGAGAGUGCAACGGGACACACUGUCCUUGCCAGGAGGAUUAUAAAUCUGCCUGGCAUCCCUUUUUGGUCCUGCUGGAGAUUUCUUGGGUGGUGAACCAGAAGUCGUAUCUUCAUUGGCUCUCUUUUGCCUAUAAUGGUUUCCAGGAUAAUGUUACAGUGCUUUUAUAAGAAGGAGGAAUGUGGAAGAGAUCCUGAAAAGACAAAAUGAGGCAAGAUUUCUAACACAUUUGGUCGUGACGAGAGAGCGUGCAUGCAUGUGAGCAGGGCAGAG
This is a long non-coding RNA of Hyaena hyaena (striped hyena), 531 nucleotides long. RefSeq lists it as uncharacterized. The record is from RefSeq and is a predicted model, not a curated record. NCBI's taxonomy places the organism in Eukaryota, Metazoa, Chordata, Mammalia, Carnivora, Hyaenidae. The transcript is spliced from 5 exons.